RNAcentral lists this ribosomal RNA (487 nucleotides) under uncultured bacterium. RNAcentral describes it as "bacterial SSU rRNA". It matches the Rfam family "Bacterial small subunit ribosomal RNA", at positions 26 to 509 of the family's 1533-position model. The record is from RNAcentral.
UGAGGACGAACGCUGGCGGCAUGCUUAACACAUGCAAGUCGAACGGAGCACCCUUGACAGAGGCUUCGGCCAAUAGAUAGGAAUGCUUAGUGGCGGACGGGUGAGUAACGCGUGAGCAACCUGCCUUUCAGAGGGGGACAACAGUUGGAAACGACUGCUAAUACCGCAUGACACAUUGGGAGGGCAUCCUCCUGAUGUCAAAGAUUUAUCGCUGAAAGAUGGGCUCGCGUCUGAUUAGCUAGUUGGUGAGGUAACGGCCCACCAAGGCGACGAUCAGUAGCCGGACUGAGAGGUUGAACGGCCACAUUGGGACUGAGAUACGGCCCAGACUCCUACGGGAGGCAGCAGUGGGGAAUAUUGGGCAAUGGGCGCAAGCCUGACCCAGCAAUGCCGCGUGAAGGAAGAAGGCUUUCGGGUUGUAAACUUCUUUUGUCAGGGAAGAGAAGAAGACGGUACCUGACGAAUAAGCCACGGCUAACUACGUGCC